This 400-nucleotide unclassified non-coding RNA is filed under the name Hevea brasiliensis (rubber tree). Lineage: Eukaryota; Viridiplantae; Streptophyta; Magnoliopsida; Malpighiales; Euphorbiaceae. The record is from RNAcentral.
CUCUUCUACUUGCACAGUGGGAAGAAAGAAUGUUGAAAGGUCAUUUCAAAUAUGACAUAACUGCCUCUGAGAUUAAGAUCAUUAGGGGUAGAAGAAAGUUUCUUGCUCAGUUAAAUAAUGACUGGGGUAUGGAUUGUUUCAAAGAUCCUGAGAAGCUUAAGAUGUGCCAUGAAGAGGAUACACUUGUGUUUGACCGGACAAAGCACUGUGAGGAAUUACUCUUUUGCAUUACAAACAGUGAUAAGGCAGACUCUGAGCUUAUUCCUUCAGCNCCGUGCCUAAUGAUGCUAUCUUGAUUGUUAUCAAUGUAAACCCAGUUGAAUAUGGCCAUGUCUUCCUAGUACCUCAUGGCUUUGACAGUCUUUACCGGUUCCUGGAUGCAAGAUUCUUGGAAAUGGUU